RNAcentral lists this ribosomal RNA (2900 nucleotides) under Salmonella enterica subsp. enterica. Its description in RNAcentral is "bacterial LSU rRNA". It matches the Rfam family "Bacterial large subunit ribosomal RNA". The record is from RNAcentral. Lineage: Bacteria; Pseudomonadati; Pseudomonadota; Gammaproteobacteria; Enterobacterales; Enterobacteriaceae.
UUAAGCGACUAAGCGUACACGGUGGAUGCCCUGGCAGUCCAGAGGCGAUGAAGGACGUGCUAAUCUGCGAUAAGCGCCGGUAAGGUGAUAUGAACCGUUAUAACCGGCGAUUUCCGAAUGGGGAAACCCAGUGUGACUCGUCACACUAUCAUUAACUGAAUCCAUAGGUUAAUGAGGCGAACCGGGGGAACUGAAACAUCUAAGUACCCCGAGGAAAAGAAAUCAACCGAGAUUCCCCCAGUAGCGGCGAGCGAACGGGGAGGAGCCCAGAGCCUGAAUCAGCAUGUGUGUUAGUGGAAGCGUCUGGAAAGGCGCGCGAUACAGGGUGACAGCCCCGUACACAAAAGCGCAUGUGCUGUGAGCUCGAUGAGUAGGGCGGGACACGUGGUAUCCUGUCCUGAAUAUGGGGGGACCAUCCUCCAAGGCUAAAUACUCCUGACUGACCGAUAGUGAACCAGUACCGUGAGGGAAAGGCGAAAAGAACCCCGGCGAGGGGAGUGAAAAAGAACCUGAAACCGUGUACGUACAAGCAGUGGGAGCACCUUCGGGUGUGACUGCGUACCUUUUGUAUAAUGGGUCAGCGACUUAUAUUCUGUAGCAAGGUUAACCGUAUAGGGAGCCGGAGGGAAACCGAGUCUUAACCGGGCGUUAAGUUGCAGGUAUAGACCCGAAACCCGGUGAUCUAGCCAUGGGCAGGUUGAAGGUUGGGUAACACUAACUGGAGGACCGAACCGACUAAUGUUGAAAAAUUAGCGGAUGACCUGUGGCUGGGGUGAAAGGCCAAUCAAACCGGGAGAUAGCUGGUUCUCCCCGAAAGCUAUUUAGGUAGCGCCUCGUGAAUUCAUCUCCGGGGGUAGAGCACUGUUUCGGCUAGGGGGCCAUCCCCGGCUUACCAACCCCGAUGCAAACUGCGAAUACCGGAGAAUGUUAUCACGGGAGACACACGGCGGGUGCUAACGUCCGUCGUGAAGAGGGAAACAACCCAGACCGCCAGCUAAGGUCCCAAAGUCAUGGUUAAGUGGGAAACGAUGUGGGAAGGCCCAGACAGCCAGGAUGUUGGCUUAGAAGCAGCCAUCAUUUAAAGAAAGCGUAAUAGCUCACUGGUCGAGUCGGCCUGCGCGGAAGAUGUAACGGGCUAAACCAUGCACCGAAGCUGCGGCAGCGACGCUGAUGCGUUGUUGGGUAGGGGAGCGUUCUGUAAGCCUGUGAAGGUGGCCUGUGAGGGUUGCUGGAGGUAUCAGAAGUGCGAAUGCUGACAUAAGUAACGAUAAAGCGGGUGAAAAGCCCGCUCGCCGGAAGACCAAGGGUUCCUGUCCAACGUUAAUCGGGGCAGGGUGAGUCGACCCCUAAGGCGAGGCCGAAAGGCGUAGUCGAUGGGAAACAGGUUAAUAUUCCUGUACUUGGUGUUACUGCGAAGGGGGGACGGAGAAGGCUAUGUUGGCCGGGCGACGGUUGUCCCGGUUUAAGCGUGUAGGCUGGUUUUCCAGGCAAAUCCGGAAAAUCAAGGCUGAGGCGUGACGACGAGGCACUACGGUGCUGAAGCAACAAAUGCCCUGCUUCCAGGAAAAGCCUCUAAGCAUCAGGUAACAUCAAAUCGUACCCCAAACCGACACAGGUGGUCAGGUAGAGAAUACCAAGGCGCUUGAGAGAACUCGGGUGAAGGAACUAGGCAAAAUGGUGCCGUAACUUCGGGAGAAGGCACGCUGACACGUAGGUGAAGUGAUUUACUCAUGGAGCUGAAGUCAGUCGAAGAUACCAGCUGGCUGCAACUGUUUAUUAAAAACACAGCACUGUGCAAACACGAAAGUGGACGUAUACGGUGUGACGCCUGCCCGGUGCCGGAAGGUUAAUUGAUGGGGUCAGCGCAAGCGAAGCUCCUGAUCGAAGCCCCGGUAAACGGCGGCCGUAACUAUAACGGUCCUAAGGUAGCGAAAUUCCUUGUCGGGUAAGUUCCGACCUGCACGAAUGGCGUAAUGAUGGCCAGGCUGUCUCCACCCGAGACUCAGUGAAAUUGAACUCGCUGUGAAGAUGCAGUGUACCCGCGGCAAGACGGAAAGACCCCGUGAACCUUUACUAUAGCUUGACACUGAACAUUGAGCCUUGAUGUGUAGGAUAGGUGGGAGGCUUUGAAGUGUGGACGCCAGUCUGCAUGGAGCCGACCUUGAAAUACCACCCUUUAAUGUUUGAUGUUCUAACGUGGACCCGUAAUCCGGGUUGCGGACAGUGUCUGGUGGGUAGUUUGACUGGGGCGGUCUCCUCCUAAAGAGUAACGGAGGAGCACGAAGGUUGGCUAAUCCUGGUCGGACAUCAGGAGGUUAGUGCAAUGGCAUAAGCCAGCUUGACUGCGAGCGUGACGGCGCGAGCAGGUGCGAAAGCAGGUCAUAGUGAUCCGGUGUUCUGAAUGGAAGGGCCAUCGCUCAACGGAUAAAAGGUACUCCGGGGAUAACAGGCUGAUACCGCCCAAGAGUUCAUAUCGACGGCGGUGUUUGGCACCUCCGAUGUCGGCUCAUCACAUCCUGGGGCUGAAGUAGGUCCCAAGGGUAUGGCUGUUCGCCAUUUAAAGUGGUACGCGAGCUGGGUUUAGAACGUCGUGAGACAGUUCGGUCCCUAUCUGCCGUGGGCGCUGGAGAACUGAGGGGGGCUGCUCCUAGUACGAGAGGACCGGAGUGGACGCAUCACUGGUGUUCGGGUUGUCAUGCCAAUGGCACUGCCCGGUAGCUAAAUGCGGAAGAGAUAAGUGCUGAAAGCAUCUAAGCACGAAACUUGCCCCGAGAUGAGUUCUCCCUGAGACUUAGAGUCUCCUGAAGGAACGUUGAAGACGACGACGUUGAUAGGCCGGGUGUGUAAGCGCAGCGAUGCGUUGAGCUAACCGGUACUAAUGAACCGUGAGGCUUAACCUU